Trichonephila inaurata madagascariensis is the source of this 72-nucleotide non-coding RNA. Lineage: Eukaryota; Metazoa; Arthropoda; Arachnida; Araneae; Nephilidae. The record is from the annotation of a GenBank genome assembly.
CGGGGUAUAGCUCAGUGGUAGAGCAUUCGAUCAGAUCGAGAGGUCCCUGUUCAAACCUUCCGGGUGCCCCUU